GACCUGGGCUGGGUGGUCUUGCCGAAAGACAAGCACUGCUCGGGCCGGGUCUUUCCUUCUGGGGAACCAUUGUGCUCUUAAUUGAGUGCGUUGGGGAUCCAGGACUUUUACUUUGAAAAAAUUAGAGUGUUUAAAGCAGGCCUACGCUUGAAUACAUUAGCAUGGAAUAAUAGAAUAGGA
RNAcentral lists this ribosomal RNA (180 nucleotides) under uncultured Glomeromycotina. RNAcentral describes it as "partial small subunit ribosomal RNA". The stretch from base 91 to 180 matches the Rfam family "Eukaryotic small subunit ribosomal RNA", at positions 735 to 827 of the family's 1831-position model. The record is from RNAcentral. Lineage: Eukaryota; Fungi; Glomeromycota.